RNAcentral lists this ribosomal RNA (455 nucleotides) under Streptococcus mitis. RNAcentral's name for it is "bacterial SSU rRNA". It matches the Rfam family "Bacterial small subunit ribosomal RNA", at positions 28 to 469 of the family's 1533-position model. The record is from RNAcentral. Lineage: Bacteria; Bacillati; Bacillota; Bacilli; Lactobacillales; Streptococcaceae.
GACGAACGCUGGCGGCGUGCCUAAUACAUGCAAGUAGAACGCUGAAGGAGGAGCUUGCUUCUCUGGAUGAGUUGCGAACGGGUGAGUAACGCGUAGGUAACCUGCCUGGUAGCGGGGGAUAACUAUUGGAAACGAUAGCUAAUACCGCAUAAGAGUAGAUGUUGCAUGACAUUUGCUUAAAAGGUGCAAUUGCAUCACUACCAGAUGGACCUGCGUUGUAUUAGCUAGUUGGUGAGGUAACGGCUCACCAAGGCAACGAUACAUAGCCGACCUGAGAGGGUGAUCGGCCACACUGGGACUGAGACACGGCCCAGACUCCUACGGGAGGCAGCAGUAGGGAAUCUUCGGCAAUGGACGGAAGUCUGACCGAGCAACGCCGCGUGAGUGAAGAAGGUUUUCGGAUCGUAAAGCUCUGUUGUAAGAGAAGAACGAGUGUGAGAGUGGAAAGUUCACGG